AUUGAACGCUGGCGGCAUGCCUUACACAUGCAAGUCGAACGGUAACAGGUCUUCGGAUGCUGACGAGUGGCGAACGGGUGAGUAAUACAUCGGAACGUGCCCAGACGUGGGGGAUAACGAGGCGAAAGCUUUGCUAAUACCGCAUACGAUCUAAGGAUGAAAGCAGGGGACCGCAAGGCCUUGCGCGUUUGGAGCGGCCGAUGGCAGAUUAGGUAGUUGGUGGGAUAAAAGCUUACCAAGCCGACGAUCUGUAGCUGGUCUGAGAGGACGACCAGCCACACUGGGACUGAGACACGGCCCAGACUCCUACGGGAGGCAGCAGUGGGGAAUGUUGGACAAUGGGCGAAAGCCUGAUCCAGCAAUGCCGCGUGCAGGAUGAAGGCCUUCGGGUUGUAAACUGCUUUUGUACGGAACGAAAAGGCUCUGGCUAAUACCUGGGGCACAUGACGGUACCGUAAGAAUAAGCACCGGCUAACUACGUG
This 482-nucleotide ribosomal RNA is filed under the name uncultured bacterium. Its description in RNAcentral is "partial 16S ribosomal RNA". It matches the Rfam family "Bacterial small subunit ribosomal RNA", at positions 30 to 507 of the family's 1533-position model. The record is from RNAcentral.